Molecule: small RNA, 132 nt
Filed under: Escherichia coli W
Lineage: Bacteria; Pseudomonadati; Pseudomonadota; Gammaproteobacteria; Enterobacterales; Enterobacteriaceae
Description: rtT sRNA
Source: RNAcentral
UGGUGGUGGGGGAAGGAUUACUCAGCGCUGCGCGCUUCGCCCUUCGGGUCGUUGCCUGCGGCAACGCUCUCUCGCUGGCGCUCAAGUCGAACCUUGGUCGAAGCUUCUCAUCCUUCCCCGCUUGGGCAGAAU